GGUGGCUCAUUGGUAGAGCACUUGCCUUGCAUGCAUAAGGCCCUGGGUUCGGUUCCCCAGCACCA
Molecule: transfer RNA, 65 nt
Filed under: Dipodomys ordii (Ord's kangaroo rat)
Lineage: Eukaryota; Metazoa; Chordata; Mammalia; Rodentia; Heteromyidae
Rfam family: tRNA
About the family: Transfer RNA (tRNA) molecules are approximately 80 nucleotides in length. Their secondary structure includes four short double-helical elements and three loops (D, anti-codon, and T loops).
Source: Rfam by way of RNAcentral